AUCUCCGGUCAUACCCCGUUUACAACACCACCUCUCGUCUACACCAAUGAAGUUAAGCAACGUUGGCCCGAGUCAGUACCUGACAGGUAGACCAUCUGGAAACACUCGGUGUCGAAGACA
RNAcentral lists this ribosomal RNA (120 nucleotides) under Leptotrombidium deliense. Lineage: Eukaryota; Metazoa; Arthropoda; Arachnida; Trombidiformes; Trombiculidae. The record is from RNAcentral.